RNAcentral lists this transfer RNA (74 nucleotides) under Planctomycetaceae bacterium. RNAcentral describes it as "tRNA-Arg". It matches the Rfam family "tRNA". Rfam says of the family: Transfer RNA (tRNA) molecules are approximately 80 nucleotides in length. Their secondary structure includes four short double-helical elements and three loops (D, anti-codon, and T loops). The record is from RNAcentral. RNAcentral also lists the same sequence under 1 other name. Lineage: Bacteria; Pseudomonadati; Planctomycetota; Planctomycetia; Planctomycetales; Planctomycetaceae.
GCCCCGAUAGCUCAGCUGGAUAGAGCAACGGACUUCUAAUCCGUAGGUCGCAGGUUCGAAUCCUGCUCGGGGUA